UGACAAGCCCGGCAGGGCUGGGCCGGAGCCAGCGGGGGACAAAGCCCGGCUUCAGGUCGAGCCUGCACCUUGGCCUCGAGGUUCCCAGACGCGCGUCCCGACGCCCAGAAUUAUGAGGCUCCAGGACCAAUUAGGGCUGCUGGCGCUGACGUCAGGUCUGGGCGGCGUCUUCUUCCUUCCCGGGAAUCCGGGGCCCCAGAGCGAGCACGGGAGGGAGGCUGCGCCAUGGGGUCCCCGAGGGGGCCGGGUCCUCUGCAACGCCCCGGAGCCGGGUGGGGAAAGCACAGCUCCUGCGCCCCGACUGUGCGUGCCGGGCACACGGUGCGGGCAGAAGCGAGUCUGGCCCUGCGGCGGGGCCACGUGGGGCGCAGCAGAGCGGAGCCUGGUGCCUUGUGGGGUGCGCUCCCCUGGGGGCGGGUGAGGACGCCGUGCACCCAACUCGCAGGGCGGGGCUGGGCACAUGACACGGCGCACGGUGCCCGCACCCUUGACCAAGACCUCCGGAGGGGGCAGGCUGCCUGUGCCCCAGGACUCGGAUGCCCAGUGCUUGGGCGCCUCCUGCACGCAGGAGGAAGGAGCCGGCCCUGGAGUGUUAACCUGCGUGCGUGAGCGUGAGCCUGAGCGUGAACGUGAGCACCCUGCUACGGUUUUCCCAUGGUGCUGAGGGGAACCCCGGGCCUCCAGCCCUGCAUGUGCCUUCACGGGGUCCCUGCACUGCCGCCGUCUUCGGGGUGAAGCCUGUCUCGCAGUGGGGACCAGGGUGGCUCAUGGGGCACAGUCAGGGCCACCAUCCUCCGGGCUCUAGGGGAGCCACGGAGCGUCCUGGAUCGAGGGUCACACUCCACAAGCUUUGGCUGGGGGGAUUAGGGGUGAAACCAGAGAAGCCGGGCCCAGCCGAGGCAGUGCCCCGUGUGAAUGAGGAGGACGCACAGAGGGGACCCCAGCCCGGAGCACAGGGCUCCUUAGCCAGAGCCAGGCUCCCCGCAGAGUGAGUGACCUGCCCAACAGGACCUGUCGGCCGGCAAGAGGGAACCACGUGAUUGUCACUUAGGGCCUCUGUCCCCUGGCCCAGUUUCCCUCGCGGCCCCCACAAACCAGGGGAGCAGGGAGGGUGGCCGGAAGGGUCCCCGGUUCCGCCACAGGGUCCAGUUGGGUCCCGGCACUGUCCUCUUGCUCCCCCGCCCCGCCUGCCUGUGCUGCUCCUGUGAGUGGUGCGAGGAGGGGGCAGCCAGAUGGACAGGGCCAGGUGGGGACGGCCCGGCGCCAGCGGGCAGGAACAGGAGAGGCCAGGCCCCUGCGCUGGGCCCUGUUCCCAGGUCGCGACCACCCACGAGGCCCUGACCCGACCCGGGUGCUGGGUCUGGCCCAUUCCAGGAGGGGCCCUGGGCGGCAACUCCUCUGAAGAGCUCCUGCAGGACCACGAGUGCCAGGGUGGCACGGGCACGGGGCAGGGAACAGCUGAGUGGGCACCAAGCCUGUGUCCUCACGGGCAGCGUCCAGUGCACGAUUCGGACCUGAUUCCAACCGCUGCUGAGCGCAGGUGCUGUCAGUUUGAAUUCUGGGUCCCCGAAGCCUCGUGUGUUUCUGGCUGGGAAAGUGGUUGGGUCCAGCUGCGUUUGAUGAAUCCGCCCGUCCACGGACUCAUCGGGGGACCUGCUCCUGGGAGCGGCUUAACCGGAUAAGGGGGGACUGGGCAUGGUUUUGGGGGACACACACUGUCCCUGCCCUUGCCUGUGGCUUCCCCAUCCUGAUGCUUCCGGACCUCCGCCAGACCCUGCCGCCAUGGUGCUCCUGCCGGGGCAGCAGGCGUGGACUGAGCCCUCCGAGGCCGUGGCUGGGUCGGACCUCCCAGGCCGAGGUGUCCACACUGAGCACCGACCAGUGCAUGUGCUGAGACACUCUGGCGCGUGUCCAGUCCGGCCCCUGCUUUGGCUCCAGGACAGCACCUGCCCAUUUUACAGGCAGGGACGGCGAGCCUAGGAGGCUGACUGAGCCAGCGAGGGCCCCGUCCCCAGCCCAGCGCUGUGUUCCUAGCAGCCAAGCCCCGGUCCUGGGUGUGGGGGGCUCUGGAGUCAGUCAGGGCCUGCUCUGCAGGACACUCUGGUUCCCGCCAGCUCCCAGCCCCACCAAUGCAGCUGGGAAAGGGUCAGUUGGGGGACCCCAAGGCUCUGCCUUCAUCAUUUGAGAAUAAUGACUCCCACCGAGGGCCGUAUGGGACUCGAAGAGGUGCACCAUGGGUACAGCGCGCAGCCUGGGCUUGCUGUAAAGCAAGGAUUCGCUCAGUGCAUUUAUGCAGUGAACAACCUGGCUAACUGUACCUGUCCCUUCCUGCCUGUCCCAUCCUUAACAGGCCACAUAGUGCUGACCUGGGCGAGGGGUGACCUGAAGGGCAGAGCACUCGGAUGGUGAGGCCUCAGCCGAGGUGAGCAGGCGGCUGUUCCCGAGCUCACGGCCGCUUCUGACUGGUGUUCAGCAGAGCUGGGGCCACCUCGGCCAGGAUCUGCAGAUGGGGAUGCAGCUGCCGGCUUCGAAGGCCUGCACUGCCUGGAGUGGAUGGACAGAGGGACACUGGCUGCCCUGCACCCCGGGCCCCAGCAGCCCUCACAGGCAGAAUUCCCAGCCCCAGAAAUGAUGCAGGAUUGUUCAGAGUCAGAGGCUGGGGUGGGGCCGGGGGUCUCCCCGGUCUGGAGUCCUCUGGGGUUGAUACGGAGGACACUCGUGACCAGGAGGCUCACAGGGAUGAAGGACGCGUGCUUCAGGGUGCUGUUGUGCUCACACGCGUGUGUAAGCGUCCUGACAGUGCCCUGCCCCAGGGCCACCCACGGGCUCUGCAGCCAGCAGUCUGUCUGUCUGUCUGUCCAUCCUCUGCCACUCAGGAUGCGGUGGGGCAGGGCCUCACCGUCCUACACUGCGGCCACGGCUGCUCCACGGCGGACACUAAGGUUUGAGCGCCGGUCACAGGGCAGGGAUGGCACAGUGGGACCGGAACCAGGGCGCCUGGCUGCGGGGUCCCCAGGGGUCCAGACAGGUCAGCGGAAGAGCAGAGGGCGGGACGGUGGGCGGCGCCUGCCCGUCCUCCUCCCCCUCCUCCAUCUCCUCCUCUUCCAUCUCCUCCUCCCCCUCCUCCUCCUCCCCUCCCCCUUCCCCUCCUCCUCCUCGGUGUUUCCCAGCACCCUCUUCCGUCCUCCCCACAUCCUCCCUGCCUGCCCACGCCUCUGUGGCCCUUAGGAACAUCGAACCCUGGACCCUUGAAUGUCCCAGACCUUUCUCACGGCAAACACGGAGCUGGUUUCUGGUCUGUUCACCGGUGCAGCCUCAGUGCCUCUGAGUGCCCGUGUACACGGUGGGUGCUCGGCAAACAGUCACCAGUGGUGGACCAUGUCCAAGCACACACAGUGGAAGGAAAUAGUAUACAGCCAUGAAAAUGGAGCUGGGGGACAGUAGUGGACAUCAACAAGCAUCUGGUCUGGAAGUGGGUGUGGAUUCCUCCAUUUUGCGUGAAGCCUUUCUUAGAGGAGGCGGAUGGAAUAAUAAGAAUUACGCACACAGAGUUCGUAAGAGACAGGCAGGAAUCCCCUCGAUGCGCACAAGUUGUGGAACCUGGUGAAUGGCUCCCCGAGCAGCCUGGGAGAGACCCCAGCACUGAGAAGGCUGAGGCAGGAGGGUCCAGAGGCGGAGGCCAGUGCGGGCAGCCUCGCCAGGUCCCGUGUACAGCUCGUACACAGCAGGGAGAGGAGCUGGGCGUGUAACGAGUCCUUAGGGUUCCCGCCUGUGUCCUCAGCGACAGAGGGGCGCGGGCUUCCCAGGUGACAGUUGGGGCUCCCCGACCCCCUCAGGGGAGCACCCAGGGGUACCCAGAAACUGCCCAGCUGCGGGUCUCGGGGUACGGGGGCCCCAUUCUGCGCACAGAUAACAGCGGCCCCGAGCCGCGGCACACACAGGGCCCGGGCGGGGGUGCCCAAGGUCAGCAGCCCUGGCCCGCAGUGCCCAGCACCCCGCCGCUCUCCCCGCUCUGGCCACCAGGGGGCCGCAUCGCGCGGACCGAGGAGGCCCAGCGCCGUUCUGGGGUCUCUGCCGCCCUCGCGUGGCCCUCGAUGGCAGCGCAGGCUGCUCCGCUUCACCGUGUCCCCAAGAACCGGGUCCCCAAGAAUCAGGUCCCCAAGAACGGGGCCUGGUGCGCACCAGGUCCCAGGGGGCACCGCAGGGCUCCCCAGAGGCACGGCGAGGAGGCGUCCCCAGGAGACGGCCCGGUACUCAGCCAUCCACACCCACUGGAGACGGCUGGGGCUUGGGGGUCAGGUGGGGUCCUGUGCGGUCACCUGGGGGACCGGCACUCACCCCAGGUGGGUGUCCUGCGUCUGCUAUUGCAAAAUGACCUCCUCACUGUGGGGAGGCGGGCGUACUGGCGCUCUCCUCUCUAAUCUGGGCUCUCUGGGAGGCUGAGGCAGGAGGCUCCCAAGUGGAGGCCCAGCUGGUCACUUAGGGAGACCCUGUCCCGAAGCAAAUUUUAAAAACUACUUUUACCCAGGGCGGGGAUGCCGCUGGGUGGGAGGAAUUUACACGCCCAGCCCCGGCGAUGCGGGUGAGCUGCAAACAGCCAGAGAAACCUGACAACUGCGGCAGGUGAGCUGCAGGAAGCGUCCCCGGCACACCGUGGAGCUGCCCAGCACGUGGGGACAGUGGCAGCAAACGCUGCUGUCACCCGAGUUCGCUGCCGCACAAAUUAUAUUAAGCUGAUUAAAAUCGCUAUGUUUGUACACAAAAGGUCAAAUAUUAAAAGAACUAAACAGAGCUGGGGCUGUAGCUCCGUGUGAGGGACCAGAGCCACAGGAAACAGAGCUGAGCAGAGCAGAGCAGAGCAGAGUCCCCCUCGGACCCUGCCGGCCCCCUACACUGCCACCACCGCGGUGGCCGCAGCCGUGGUCCCCGCCACCCGUCUGAGGGCUACAGAGCGAGCUCCUGGCUCGCUGACUCUGCCCGGCCUUGGUCACAUGGAGGUCUGGGGUGUACAUGCACGCUCAGGGGGACCCGCUAGCUCACCAGCUUAGUGUGGCCCUGCCUCAGCCUCCUGGUCCUCACCAGGACCACAGCAGACACAGGGAUGCUUCGUUCCGAGCUGGGCCCCUGGCUCUCCCCACCCACUGGGAGAGCCGGACCCUGUUGCCCACCCGGCCUGAACAGCCCCGACAGCUGGACUCGGGGGCUGGCAGGAAGGAAGGACCAUGCCCCCCACAGGCCGAGGGGUGCAGAGGAGCCCUGUGGAACCCGGCAAAGGGACACAAGGGGUCCCUGUUGCCUCAGGGACCUGUCCACUCCCUCUCUGUGCAGCCUCUUCCCGGGGUCCCCUCCCCACCAGGCUGCCCCAGGGGAGGGGUUGCCAGGAGACCAGAUGGGCUCUGCCCAGGCCGCCUGGGGUGGCUUUGUUGCCUGGCAACCCAGCAGCAGCGUCCCUUGAGCCCUGAGCACGCAGCCGCGCCCAGCCCUGCCUGGCGCCCUGGGCCCUGUCCUUAUUCCCCAGGACCAGGACCAGGGCCAGGGCCACCCACCAGGGCCACAAUGAACGUCGUCCUCUCCAGGGACGGCCAGGUGAGGGCGAUGGAGGCCACGGUGGUCAGUGCCGAGAAGCACUUCGGGCAGCUCUGCUCACUGCUGGCCGCCCACACACGCAAGACGGCCCGGCUUCGGGACGUGGGGGACCGGCUGGUCAAGCAGCUGAUCGAGGUCGCCGGCUCCGAGGCCCCCGACUUGCGGGCCACGCUGCGGGAGGUCGCCGAGGACCUGGCCAAAGUGCAGGACUACAGGCAGGCCCAAGUGGAGAGGCUGGAGGCCAAGGUCAUCGGUCCCCUGAAGCUCUAUGGCACCCAGAUAAAGCAGACCCGGGCUGAAAUCAAGAGGUUCAAGCGGGUCCAAAGCCAUGAGCUCAAACAGCUGGAAAGGCUGGAGAAACUGAGGCAGAAGUCGCCCUCGGAUCGGCAGGUGAUCUCACAGGUGAGUGUGGUGCCCUCCCCGGGGCAGGCAGGCGGAGAACAGUGUGCAGAGGGCCUCGGUGGACGCCAGCCGCACCACGCGGCAGCUGGAGGACACGGUGAACGCCUUCCAGCGGCAGAAGCUAAAGGACCUGCAGAGGGUCUUCCUGGACUUCGUGACCAUUGAGAUGCUGUUCCACGCCAAGGCGGUGGAAGUGUACUCCAGUGCCUGCCGGACCCUGGGCAGCUACGACCCGGAGCAGGACCUGCAGGACUUUCAAGCCAAGAUAUGGGGAGCUGCUGGGCACGUCAAGGCUCGGCCACUCACAGACGCCAUCCUGGGGCCGCCCUCUGGCCAGAGUACCUGGAGCAUCCCGGGGAGCCAGGCUACACAAGAGGAGGCCAGUGGCGAUGACUCGGCGGAUGAGGCGGCCCUGGAGGACCUCCGGGGAC
Molecule: RNA transcript, 6419 nt
Organism: Cavia porcellus (domestic guinea pig)
Lineage: Eukaryota; Metazoa; Chordata; Mammalia; Rodentia; Caviidae
Gene: Cibar2
Gene name: CBY1 interacting BAR domain containing 2
Exons: 9
Source: RefSeq, a predicted model, not a curated record